RNAcentral lists this antisense RNA (72 nucleotides) under Streptomyces rubellomurinus. Its description in RNAcentral is "ASpks TB sRNA". It matches the Rfam family "ASpks TB sRNA". The record is from Rfam by way of RNAcentral. Lineage: Bacteria; Bacillati; Actinomycetota; Actinomycetes; Kitasatosporales; Streptomycetaceae. RNAcentral also lists the same sequence under 2 other names.
CUUGAUCGAGCCCAGCCACAGCGGGCCGUGCUCGCGCUCCUGGCCGUAGGUGGCCAGCAGGGCCUGGGCCUC